AGUUAAUUAAGCUUUAGAUCAAGCGUAUACCUUGAAAGUAUAAGACAAAGGCUAAAUUCCUUUAUUAACUU
RNAcentral lists this transfer RNA (71 nucleotides) under Arbanatus sp. RNAcentral describes it as "tRNA-Ser". It matches the Rfam family "tRNA". Rfam says of the family: Transfer RNA (tRNA) molecules are approximately 80 nucleotides in length. The record is from RNAcentral. Lineage: Eukaryota; Metazoa; Arthropoda; Insecta; Hemiptera; Aradidae.